This 253-nucleotide ribosomal RNA is filed under the name uncultured bacterium. RNAcentral describes it as "partial 16S ribosomal RNA". It matches the Rfam family "Bacterial small subunit ribosomal RNA", at positions 524 to 776 of the family's 1533-position model. The record is from RNAcentral.
UACGGAGGAUGCAAGCGUUAUCCGGAAUGAUUGGUCGUAAAGCGUCCGCAGGUGGCUGUGUAAGUCUGCUGUCAAAGAGCAAAGCUCAACUUUGUAAAGGCAGUGGAAACUACACGGCUAGAGUGCGUUCGGGGCAGAGGGAAUUCCUGGUGUAGCGGUGAAAUGCGUAGAGAUCAGGAAGAACACCAAAGGCGAAGGCAGCGUUCUGGGAAGCAACUGACGCUCAUGUGCGAAAGCUAGGGGAGCGAACGGG